UGGAUCCAGACUUUGAUCAUGGCUCAGGACGAACGCUGGCGGCGCGCCUAACACAUGCAAGUCGAACGGAGAUUACAGGCGGAAGUUUUCGGAUGGAAGCUUGUAAACUUAGUGGGGGACGGGUGAGUAACACGUGAGCAACCUGCCUAUCAGAGGGGGAUAACGAUUGGAAACGAUCGCUAAUACCGCAUGACAUAGCGGAACCGCAUGGUUCUGUUAUCAAAGAUUUUAUCGCUGAUAGAUGGGCUCGCGUCCGAUUAGAUAGUUGGUGGGGUAACGGCCUACCAAGUCGACGAUCGGUAGCCGGACUGAGAGGUCGAACGGCCACAUUGGGACUGAGACACGGCCCAGACUCCUACGGGAGGCAGCAGUGGGGGAUAUUGCACAAUGGGGGAAACCCUGAUGCAGCGACGCCGCGUGAGGGAAGACGGUCCUCUGGAUUGUAAACCUCUGUCUUCGGGGACGAAACGAGACGGUACCCGAGGAGGAAGCCACGGCUAACUACGUGCCAGCAGCCGCGGUAAUACGUGGGUGGCAAGCGUUGUCCGGAAUUACUGGGUGUAAAGGGAGCGUAGGCGGGCAGGCAAGUCAGGCGUGAAAUAUAUCGGCUCAACCGGUAACGGCGCUUGAAACUGCAGGUCUUGAGUGAAGUAGAGGUUGGCGGAAUUCCUAGUGUAGCGGUGAAAUGCGUAGAUAUUAGGAGGAACACCAGUGGCGAAGGCGGCCAACUGGGCUUUUACUGACGCUGAGGCUCGAAAGUGUGGGGAGCAAACAGGAUUAGAUACCCUGGUAGUCCACACCGUAAACGAUGAUUACUAGGUGUGGGGGGACUGACCCCUUCCGUGCCGGAGUUAACACAAUAAGUAAUCCACCUGGGGAGUACGGCCGCAAGGUUGCAACUCAAAUGAAUUGACGGA
This 917-nucleotide ribosomal RNA is filed under the name uncultured Bacillota bacterium. RNAcentral's name for it is "bacterial SSU rRNA". It matches the Rfam family "Bacterial small subunit ribosomal RNA", at positions 1 to 917 of the family's 1533-position model. The record is from RNAcentral. Lineage: Bacteria; Bacillati; Bacillota.